UUUUCUCUUCUUUUAUGUAAUUAAUGUGGGUUGCUUCUCAAUCACAAAUUCCUCCAUCAUUUUAAAAUCUACAGACCUUUGAAAGAUUAUUCUCUGACUAUUCUUUCAGAGAAAUUAAAAUCUUACGCUAGCUUUACAAAAGCUUAAAAUGGAUAUAUUCUUUCAGCAACAAGACAUACUAUAAUUUAAACUUUUCUACUUAUAAAGAAACUUUUUAUGUCAAACUGUGAGUCAUGAUGUCACCAAAUCUUCCAACC
Molecule: long non-coding RNA, 257 nt
Filed under: Nicotiana benthamiana
Lineage: Eukaryota; Viridiplantae; Streptophyta; Magnoliopsida; Solanales; Solanaceae
Description: long non-coding RNA (NBEN_LNC008630)
Source: RNAcentral